CAGACAGCCCAUGCUGGUCUUGUUAGCAGCAGGAGCUUGUUUGAGUAUCACUAUGUUUUAAUGAAUCAGUCGGAGUCAAUUUUAAAGUUCUGUGAAAGGCUGCAUUCAGCUCUGACAUGAUUGAGAGAUGAGCUCUUCCAGUGGCGAGUUGGGUAGAAAGUAUCCAGUUGUGGGAUGUUAUCAGCCAGUCGGUAGCAUACACAUGAACAUGGAAGAAGGAUACUGGUUCCUAAAUGUAGAAAUCAACUCCACCUGGCAGUCAUCUAUUGCGUGUCUACCAUAUUCAAGAACCACCUAUAGAAUUCCACUGCCUCCUCAGGCCGUCUCGCGAGGGGUCUUGGGAUCGUCUCGCCGCGGACCGGACAGUGGGAGGCGGGAGACGCGAGGCGUGCUGCGGGGCUGGGGCCUCGGAGGGGCAGCAUAGGCCCGAAGGUUGUCACGGCUGUGAGCGACCUUUUUACGGUCUACCCCGUGACAGCCCGUGGUCCAAGUGGCUUUGCGGUGGAAACAGGAAUGCAAUGACAGUGUAGAUUUCGCAGGGCAGGACUAGCCGAGAGCAGACAAGCAUGGGACAGAGGGAAGCUGGAGCGCAGUUCCACAGCGGGAGGUCCGGGAGGGGCGGGGCUCCGUGGGCGGUGACCGCAGGCCGCGCUCGGAGGAGCUGAAGUUCUCUCGCGGGAACUGCACACCCCUCGGCGAGGCGUGCACACGGGGAUUCGAACUCAGCGGGCAGGGGUGGGGCAGGGGUGGGGCAUGUUUGUGUCAGCUGUUUUGCACGAGGUUAACACUUCCAUCCAUAAAGCUGGUUCCAUGGUGUGGUGGGGCUCCUUCAAUCAGUGGAAUGUCUGGCCAGAAUGAAAAAACUGAGUUAUUCAAUCUGCAGAGGGCAGAGGGCAAGUUCCUUUUGCCCUCUACUGUUGGUUUGAGAAAAGACUGUCCUGGCCAAGACACAGCCGGUUCCUGUGCUCCAGGAGGAAGCAGCCAUGCUCUGGGGGCAAAAUGAAACUCCUGCAUGGAGAGUGGAGGAAUCUCUCUGGACUUCUCAAGCCAGGAUAAGCUCAAAUUAAACAGACAACUUCUGAGGCAGAGACAAAAAUCCUCUACAUAUGGGUGCUUGACACUCAGAUCAAGUUCUGACAGUCGACACUUCUAGGUGUUGGCCAAGAUCCUCGUUUCAAGACUGAGAGAGAAAGCAAGCCUGGGUUCCUCGUCGUUCCAACCCCAGUUGGGAAGAGGCUCCACCAGCUCUCGUCUCAGAUCCUCUCAUGGGAUCGAACUUGGAUCCUUGCACUUGCGCAGCAAGCGGCGAAACCACUGAGCUAACCGGACCUAAACAACUACAAAAUUCUUGACGCACAACUUUUAACAUCGCUAAUAAAGUACACCUAGUCCUAAAAAAAUGUUGAACAGGGCAAUAUACAUGCAUAAAACAUUUGCCUCUAGUCAGAAAUAAAUGUGCAGGUCUUAUAUUUACAAAACA
Molecule: non-coding RNA, 1480 nt
Organism: Heterocephalus glaber (naked mole-rat)
Lineage: Eukaryota; Metazoa; Chordata; Mammalia; Rodentia; Bathyergidae
Source: RefSeq, a predicted model, not a curated record